Pyrus x bretschneideri (Chinese white pear) is the source of this 539-nucleotide long non-coding RNA. RefSeq lists it as uncharacterized. NCBI's taxonomy places the organism in Eukaryota, Viridiplantae, Streptophyta, Magnoliopsida, Rosales, Rosaceae. The record is from RefSeq and is a predicted model, not a curated record. The transcript has 2 exons.
UUGAAUGUCUGCUGAAAAAUCGACAGAUAUGACUAAUAAAUUAAAAUCCUAACAAAUUAAACACCCCAAAUCAAAACCCUCACUUCUCUUCGAAAUCCAGUUCAGAAACUUCAUCUCCAUCUUGUCCUUCGUCGAUCUCCAGAAUCCAUGUCUCUUACACCAUUGAUGUUUAGGCCUCUGCUGAGGCUGAUAACAUCCUUAGCUACCGAUCCUGCUGCCUCAGUUUCGACGGUGCUCUACUACAGCGAGCUUCUUCCGCAGAACAUCAUCCUCGAAAGAUUGGUUCGACACGAACUGCUCGAUCGCGAAAAUUACCUGUUCCAUUUCCUCAUCAACUUUUUGAGAUGUUUUUGGUAGGAACUAUCAAAUUGUCGUUCUAUAUUCUAAUACAAGCUAAACUAUGAGGCGGGGAAUACAAACUUGAACGCCAUCCGAGUUUUUUUUCUGCAUUUUUGAAACCGUUAUUUAUUGGUGAUUCGUGAGCGUUCGAGUUGUAAUACGUGAGUUCAUAUCAUAUAAUGAGAUAUAUUUUACAGUUA